AUGCGCCCGGACCGUUUUGAGUACACCAUCCGGGUCCUUUCAGUGCACUGCUUUCCCCCCGAUCGUAAUUGGAACGCCCUAAUCAAACUAAGUAUAUCUGUUUGUGUUGCAAUGGCCAUGAGACAUACCAUUGACCGCCAGCAUCCCAGCUACAAAGAGGGGAAACGUAAAUUGCUUGAAAGUAAACAAGACCACCUUAUAGCUGAAGCUGAGAGAGCCGUUGAGGAGAGGAAACGUGCGCGUUCUGGUGGAGGACCUCCAUGUGGCUCCACUAGUGACGGUGCAAGACGAGGCAAGCCGAGGGGGAGGCGUGGAGGGCGACGCGGAGGGCGACGCAAAGCCUCAGCCACAGUCACGUUCCCCCCAGCUGAGUGCUCCCCGUCAUCCCAUGAGGACGUUCCGCUUACUGUACCUUCAGCGCAACUGAAUCCUCAAGAGGCAUUUGAAAAGUUUGUGGAGAGGCUUUCAUCUCUAAAUGCCUCUGGUCCUUCUGCCAAGCCUCAAAGAAGCUCUGCAUCUUCAUGGACUUUUCGGCAGCAGAAAGCCUCAGAGCGCUGGACAGAAGCACGACCAAACCACCUACAAGGCCUCAUUGAAAAGGAGGCUGUUGGUCAUCCCUUGUGUUGCCUCUGCCCCAAGCCGGCUGUUAUUAGGUGCAGAGAGUGUCUCCCUGAAGAGUGGUUCUGUGGGGACUGCGAUGUACUGCAUCACAAAAAACAGCCACUCCACAACAGGGAAUGUCUGAUACGUGGGUUCUUUGAACCCAUUCCUCCAACCACACGCGUCAUGAAAGGGGAGGAUGGAUAUUUCACUCAGGAGCAAGCUUGCAUCUUGCCAACUGUGAGUGUGUCAAACUGCGUCUGCGAUGGCACAACCUUCACUGUGUUACCAGGCAAACCAGUGAUUUUAAUUAACAUCAAUGGACGUUAUGACUUGCAUCAGCCACUGUAUGUAUGUCAGACGUGCCAGCAGCAGAGGACCCCUGACAUGAAGCACUUCCUUCAGAGUGGAUAUUGGCCAGCCUCUCUCAAUACUUCCACGUUGUACACGUUGGACCUCUUGAGCUCCUUUCAGGAACUGAAAGUAAUCUCUCCGGGAUUCUCCAGACAGGCCUUCGCAAAGCUCCUGGAGCAUCGCACCAAGUGUGGAGGACGAGUUAGUAUUAUUGUUCUUGGACAUAUUACAACAUUUCUGUGCAUAAGCAGACAACAUCCCAAAUAUUUUUUUAUUCUAUGUAUCUUCCAGUCUGGACAUAUCAAAGGUGACACCCUGCAGCGCAGCUUCUUGGAGUUUUCAUAUGCUUCGUUUGAGAAGGACCAACUCUGCUGUGGUGCUGUUUUCACCUGCACAGCCUGCACACCAGAAAUGUUGGCUGUUUCAGUUGAUGGAAACAGAAAGUUAUAUCGCUUUCGCCGAAAUGGAAGUUCUGGUGACCAUGCCUUUUUUGAAGGUUUAUUUGUGGCUGAAGACUUUGCAGUGUCUGGAUUUGUGGACAUGAUCCAGAAAGCUGUGAAAAAGGCAAGUUUGAAUCGUAAUUUGACAAAAUACUUCUGUUGCUAA
Gadus morhua (Atlantic cod) is the source of this 1560-nucleotide long non-coding RNA. The record is from Ensembl. NCBI's taxonomy places the organism in Eukaryota, Metazoa, Chordata, Actinopteri, Gadiformes, Gadidae.